This 492-nucleotide ribosomal RNA is filed under the name uncultured bacterium. RNAcentral's name for it is "partial 16S ribosomal RNA". It matches the Rfam family "Bacterial small subunit ribosomal RNA", at positions 29 to 507 of the family's 1533-position model. The record is from RNAcentral.
AGUGAACGCUGGCGGUAGGCCUAACACAUGCAAGUCGAACGGCAGCACCGUAAUAGCUUGCUCUUACGGGUGGCGAGUGGCGUACGGGUGAUGAAUACAUCGUACUCUACUUUUUCGUGUGGUGUAACGUAGGGAAACUUACGCUAAUACCGCAUACGCCCUUCGGGUGUAGGCAUGGGAUCUUCUCACCUUGCGCGAUUGAAUGCGCCGAUGUCGGAUUAGCUAGUUGGCGGGGUAAAGGCCCACCAAGGCGACGAUCCGUAGCUGGUCUGAGAGGAUGAUAGGCGACCUGAGAACUGAGACAGGGUCAAGACUACUAAGGGAGGCAGCAGUCGGGAAUAUUGGACAGAGGGGGCAAGCAUGAUCCAGAGAGACCGAGUGGGUGAAGAAGGCGUUGGGGGCGUAAAGACCGUGUGUGGGGAAAGAAAAGCAGCAGGUUGAGACCCAGCGGUUCUGACGGUACCCAAAGAAGAAGCACCGGCUAACUUCGUG